GUCUCGCGCUGGGUCCGCCUGUAACUUCUCAGUGAAGCCUCCGGCUCUUUACUGACUAAACCUGUAAAGCGUCCAACAAACGGCUCACUUCAGUUGACGUGAUCCUACUUUUACCGCGUGACAAAGGAAGGAAUCCGGGACAAAGAAGCUACAAACCUCACAACCAGCGUCUCGUUACAGUUAUUUUUACAGACUUUGGGAUGUUGUAACAGUUACAUUCACUUCUGCAGAGAUUCUGCAACAUCUGCUUCUGACGCUUGAGCAGAAAAAACAGGUUCCAGUUCUCCAGAACCCGUUUCCAGGAUCCACAAAGCAACAACAGGCCGAGAGGUGAAAACUUCAAAAAAUGCUCUUCUGCAGCAGAAACCCGGGUCACGGUGAUGGACGGAUGGACGGAGGAGUCUGGCUUUUCAUUUCAUUCUCAUUCCCUUUACGUCCGCUGCUGCCCGACGCCUUAGACUCCUCCCGUCUGUGCUGAUUAGCUGUAAUUAAGCGGCGCUCCAAUCAGUCCCAGCGCGGUGGAAAACGCACGUCACUGCUGAGGCACUGAGUGAACAGCUGAAAUGUGCUCCUUCCUCUGGUGCCGACCGACGGCAGCAGAUGCUGGAACCACAUUAAGCUCCAGCAAAUAACACCAGAGACAAAGGGAAGGAAAC
This is a long non-coding RNA of Betta splendens (Siamese fighting fish), 656 nucleotides long. RefSeq lists it as uncharacterized. NCBI's taxonomy places the organism in Eukaryota, Metazoa, Chordata, Actinopteri, Anabantiformes, Osphronemidae. The transcript is spliced from 5 exons. The record is from RefSeq and is a predicted model, not a curated record.